RNAcentral lists this unclassified non-coding RNA (379 nucleotides) under uncultured Pseudomonadota bacterium. RNAcentral describes it as "uncultured proteobacterium contains 16S-23S intergenic spacer region". Lineage: Bacteria; Pseudomonadati; Pseudomonadota. The record is from RNAcentral.
UCCGGUUUGUCACCGGCAGCCUCAUUAGAGUGCCCAACUCAAUGUAGCAACUAAUGACAAGGGUUGCGCUCGUUGCAGGACUUAACCCAACAUCUCACGACACGAGCUGACGACAGCCAUGCAGCACCUGGACACUCGGUUCCCCGAAGGGCACAUCCACAUCUCUGCGGACUUCCGAGGGGUUCUAACCCGGGUAAGGUUCUUCGCGUUGCGUCGAAUUAAACCACAUACUCCACCGCUUGUGCGGGCCCCCGUCAAUUCUUUUGAGUUUUAGCCUUGCGGCCGUAGUCCCCAGGCGGAGCACUUAAUGCGUUAGCGUCGGCACCGCAGGGGUCAAUACCCGCGACACCUAGUGCUCAUCGUUUACAGCGUGGACUAC